AAUCCUGGCUCAGGACGAACGCCGGCGGCGUGCCUAAUACAUGCAAGUAGAACGCUGAAGGGAGAGCUUGCUCUUCUGGAUGAGUUGCGAACGGGUGAGUAACGCGUAGGUAACCUGCCUGGUAGCGGGGGAUAACUAUUGGAAACGAUAGCUAAUACCGCAUAACAUUGACUAUUGCAUGAUAGUCAAUUGAAAGGUGCAAAUGCACCACUACCAGAUGGACCUGCGUUGUAUUAG
Molecule: ribosomal RNA, 237 nt
Filed under: uncultured bacterium
Lineage: Bacteria
Description: partial 16S ribosomal RNA
Rfam family: Bacterial small subunit ribosomal RNA
Source: RNAcentral